Molecule: ribosomal RNA, 253 nt
Filed under: uncultured bacterium
Lineage: Bacteria
Description: partial 16S ribosomal RNA
Rfam family: Bacterial small subunit ribosomal RNA
Source: RNAcentral
UACGGAGGGUGCAAGCGUUGUCCGGAUUUAUUGGGUUUAAAGGGUGCGUAGGCGGCCCUGCAAGUCCGUGGUGAAAGCCCCUCGCUCAACGAGGGAACUGCCAUGGAUACUACAGGGCUUGAGUCCAGACGAGGUUGGCGGAAUGGAUGGUGUAGCGGUGAAAUGCAUAGAUACCAUCCAGAACCCCGAUUGCGUAGGCAGCUGACUAGGCUGGAACUGACGCUGAGGCACGAAAGCGUGGGGAGCGAACAGG